RNAcentral lists this ribosomal RNA (508 nucleotides) under uncultured bacterium. RNAcentral describes it as "partial 16S ribosomal RNA". It matches the Rfam family "Bacterial small subunit ribosomal RNA", at positions 28 to 507 of the family's 1533-position model. The record is from RNAcentral.
GACGAACGCUGGCGGCGUGCCUAAUACAUGCAAGUCGAACGCUUCUUUCCUCCCGAGUGCUUGCACUCAAUUGGAAAGAGGAGUGGCGGACGGGUGAGUAACACGUGGGUAACCUACCCAUCAGAGGGGGAUGACACUUGGAAACAGGUGCUAAUACCGCCUAACAGUUUAUGCCGCAUGGCAUAAGAGUGAAAGGCGCUUUCGGGUGUCGCUGAUGGAUGGACCCGCGGUGCAUUAGCUAGUUGGUGAGGUAACGGCUCACCAAGGCCACGAUGCAUAGCCGACCUGAGAGGGUGAUCGGCCACACUGGGACUGAGACACGGCCCAGACUCCUACGGGAGGCAGCAGUAGGGAAUCUUCGGCAAUGGACGAAAGUCUGACCGAGCAACGCCGCGUGAGUGAAGAAGGUUUUCGGAUCGUAAAACUCUUUUGUUAGAGAAGAACAAGGACGUUAGUAACUGAACGUCCCCUGACGGUACCUAACCAGAAAGCCACGGCUAACUACGUG